ACAGAUCUGGCCGAGUAGUUAAAGCGACUGAUUCGAAAUCAAUUUCCAUCUUGGAGCGUAGGUUCGAAUCCUACUAUCUGCG
Non-coding RNA from Daphnia pulex (common water flea), 82 nucleotides. NCBI's taxonomy places the organism in Eukaryota, Metazoa, Arthropoda, Branchiopoda, Diplostraca, Daphniidae. The record is from Rfam.